This 350-nucleotide long non-coding RNA is filed under the name Daucus carota (carrot). RNAcentral describes it as "long non-coding RNA (DCAR_LNC004291)". Lineage: Eukaryota; Viridiplantae; Streptophyta; Magnoliopsida; Apiales; Apiaceae. The record is from RNAcentral.
GCGGGAACAUCGGCGGGAGGAGCAGCGACAGGUGCAGCAGCAGGAGGGGGAGUAGCAGCCGGUGGAGGAACAGCUGGAGGUGGUGAGCUCACCGGUGGAGGAGUGGCCGGAGGUGGUGAACUGACUGGAGGAGUGGCCUGAGGAGCAGCUACAGUGGGAGGAGUGGCAGUUGGUGGAGAUGCGGUGGGAGUAGGGGUGGCUGGGGUGGCGGUGGGAGUAGGGGUGGCUGGAGUGGCGGUGGGAGAAGCGGAGGGAGAUUGGGCUCCGACGCCGGCGACGAUAAUGCAGGUGAAUGUGAGGAGGAGGAGAGUGUUGCGAUUCAUUUUGAGAGAGAGACAGAGAGAGAUGGG